AUUGAACGCUGGCGGCAGGCCUAACACAUGCAAGUCGAACGAGUGGCGGACGGGUGAGUAAUGUCUGGGAAACUGCCUGAUGGAGGGGGAUAACUACUGGAAACGGUAGCUAAUACCGCAUACCAUCGGAUGUGCCCAGAUGGGAUUAGCUAGUAGGUGGGGUAAAGGCUCACCUAGGCGACGAUACCUAGCUGGUCUGAGAGGAUGAACAGCCAAACGGGAAGUGAGACACGGUCCAGACUCCUACGGGAGGCAGCAGUGGGGAAUAUUGCACAAUGGGCGCAAGCCUGAGGCAGACAUGCGGCGUGGAUGAAGAAGGCCUUCGGGUUGUAAAGUCCUUUCAGCGGGGAGGCGGUACCCGCAGAAGAAGCACCGGCUAACUCCGUGCCAGCCGCCGCGGUAAUAC
Molecule: ribosomal RNA, 406 nt
Filed under: uncultured bacterium
Lineage: Bacteria
Description: partial 16S ribosomal RNA
Rfam family: Bacterial small subunit ribosomal RNA
Source: RNAcentral